RNAcentral lists this ribosomal RNA (425 nucleotides) under uncultured bacterium. RNAcentral describes it as "bacterial SSU rRNA". It matches the Rfam family "Bacterial small subunit ribosomal RNA", at positions 608 to 1029 of the family's 1533-position model. The record is from RNAcentral.
CUUACCUGGGAGAGGUCGUUGGAAACUGCACGGCUUGAGGCAGAGAGAGGAAGACGGAAUUCCCGGUGGAGUGGUGGAAUGCGUAGAGAUCGGGAAGAACACCAGUGGCGCAGGCGGUCUUCUGGCUCUGUUCUGACGCUGAGGUGCGAAAGCGUGGGGAGCGAACGGGAUUAGAUACCCCGGUAGUCCACGCUGUAAACGCUGUGAACUAGGUGUGAGUCGGAUUGACCCGGUCCGUGCCGCAGCCAACGCGCUAAGUUCACCGCCUGGGGAGUACGGCCGCAAGGCUAAAACUCAAAGGAGUUGACGGGGGCCCGCACAAGCAGCGGAGCGUGUGGUUUAAUUCGAUGCAACGCGAAGAACCUUACCUGGGCUUGACAUGGCCGUCGUAGUGAACCGAAAGGGGAACGAGCCUUCGGGCAGCG